Molecule: ribosomal RNA, 253 nt
Filed under: uncultured bacterium
Lineage: Bacteria
Description: partial 16S ribosomal RNA
Rfam family: Bacterial small subunit ribosomal RNA
Source: RNAcentral
UACAGAGGCCCCAAGCGUUACUGAGAAUCACUGGGUUUAAAGGGUGCGUAGGUGGCGCGUUAAGUCCGUUGUGAAAUCCCUGGGCUCAACCCAGGAAUUGCUUCGGAUACUGGCGUGCUUGAGGCUAGUAGGGGUCACUGGAACUGACGGUGGAGCGGUGAAAUGCGUAGAUAUCGUCAGGAACGCCGAUGGUGAAGACAGGUGACUGGGCUAGCUCUGACACUGAGGCACGAAAGCGUGGGGAGCGAACGGG